RNAcentral lists this ribosomal RNA (2030 nucleotides) under human gut metagenome. RNAcentral describes it as "bacterial LSU rRNA". It matches the Rfam family "Bacterial large subunit ribosomal RNA", at positions 860 to 2925 of the family's 2925-position model. The record is from RNAcentral.
CGAAAUGCCUUUUGGGGCAGCGUUGUAAUAAAGAGUCUACUGGAGGUAGAGCUACUGAUUGGAUGCGGGGGCUUCACCGCCUACCAAAUCCUGACAAACUCCGAAUGCCAGUAGUAUGAUUUACAGCAGUGAGUGACUGGGUGCUAAUGUCCAGUCGCAAAAGAGGAACAACUCAGACCAGCAACUAAGGUCCCGAAGAAUAUGCUAAGUUGAUCUAACGAUGUUUUGUUGCAGAGACAGCUAGGAUGUUAGCUUGGAAGCAGCUAUUCAUUCAAAGAGUGCGUAACAGCUCACUAGUCGAGCGACAGAGCGUGGAUAAUAAACGGGCAUCAAGCAUAUCACCGAAGUUCUGGGCGCGAGAGCGCGGUAGGGGAGCAUUCCAUUCAGCGUCGAAGCAGUUUCGUGAGGAAUUGUGGAGCGUAUGGAAAAGCAAAUGUAGGCAUGAGUAACGAUAAUGCGGGAGAGUAACCCGCACACCGCAAGACCAAGGUUUCCUGAUCAACGCUAAUCGGAUCAGGGUUAGUCGGGUCCUAAGGGUAAGCCGAACGGCGAUCUCGAUGGAUAAUCGGUUAAUAUUCCGAUACUAACAUAUACCUCGAUGGAGAGACGAAGGAACGUAAGUGCCGCCACCUGACGGAAUAGGUGGUUAAAGGGCGUAGGUAUAGGGGCAGAUUAAGAGUUAGUCCUUGCUGAAACCUGACAGUACAGAGAGCCUACGGGCAAUUUGAUAGUGCACCCAAGUCGACUUCCGAGAAAAUCUUCUAAGUUAUAGUAUAUGUUACCCGUACCGUAAACCGACACAGGUGGUCGAGGAGAGUAUCCUAAGGUGCUCGAGUGAAUCACGGUUAAGGAACUAGGCAAAUUAACCCCGUAACUUCGGGAAAAGGGGUCCCUAUGAAAGUAGGGCGCAGCGAAGAGGUCCAGGCGACUGUUUAUCAAAAACACAGGGCUCUGCAAAUUCGAAAGAAGACGUAUAGGGCCUGACACCUGCCCGGUGCUGGAAGGUUAAGAGGGGAUGUCAUCGCAAGAGAAGCAUUGAAUCGAAGCCCCAGUAAACGGCGGCCGUAACUAUAACGGUCCUAAGGUAGCGAAAUUCCUUGUCGGGUAAGUUCCGACCUGCACGAAUGGUGUAAUGAUCCGGACGCUGUCUCAACCGUGAGCUCAGUGAAAUUGUAGUAUCGGUGAAGAUGCCGAUUACCCGCAACGGGACGAAAAGACCCCGUGAACCUUUACUAUAGCUUAACGCUGAAUUUGGGUACACAAUGUGUAGGAUAGGCCGGAGGCUUUGAAGCGGGCACGCCAGUGUUCGUGGAGCCGACGUUGAAAUACGGCCCUUUGUGUAUUUGAGUUCUAACCCUGCGAAGGGGACACCGUUUGGUGGGUAGUUUGACUGGGGUGGUCGCCUCCAAAAGCGUAACGGAGGCUUCCCAAGGUACCCUCAGCACGAAUGGUAACCGUGCGCGGAGUGCAAUAGCAUAAGGGUGCUUGACUGUGAGACAUACAAGUCGACCAGGUACGAAAGUAGGGUAUAGUGAUCCGGUGGUUCUGCGUGGACUGGCCAUCGCUCAAAGGAUAAAAGGUACUCCGGGGAUAACAGGCUGAUCGCCGCCAAGAGCUCAUAUCGACGCGGCGGUUUGGCACCUCGAUGUCGGCUCGUCACAUCCUGGGGCUGGAGAAGGUCCCAAGGGUUCGGCUGUUCGCCGAUUAAAGUGGCACGCGAGCUGGGUUCAGAACGUCGUGAGACAGUUCGGUCUCUAUCUGUUGCGGGCGUAGGAAGAUUGAGGGGUCCUGACUUUAGUACGAGAGGACCGAGUUGGACGAACCUCCGGUGUAUCGGUUAUGCUGCCAAGUGUACUGCCGAGUAGCCGCGUUCGGUCUGGAUAAGCGCUGAAAGCAUCUAAGCGCGAAGCCAUCCCCAAGAUAAGUCUUCCCUUGAGGGGCGUAGGAGACUACUACGUUGAUAGGCUGCAGGUGUAAAGACAGCAAUGUCAAAGCCGAGCAGUACUAAUUACCCGAUAGGCUUUCUUUUU